UGGGGAAUAUUGGACAAUGGGCGAAAGCCUGAUCCAGCCAUGCCGCGUGUGUGAAGAAGGUCUUCGGAUUGUAAAGCACUUUAAGUUGGGAGGAAGGGCAGUAAGCGAAUACCUUGCUGUUUUGACGUUACCGACAGAAUAAGCACCGGCUAACUCUGUGCCAGCAGCCGCGGUAAUACAGAGGGUGCAAGCGUUAAUCGGAAUUACUGGGCGUAAAGCGCGCGUAGGUGGUUCGUUAAGUGGAAUGUGAAAGCCCCGGGCUCAACCUGGGAACUGCAUCCAAAACUGGCGAGCUAGAGUAGGGCAGAGGGUGGUGGAAUUUCCUGUGUAGCGGUGAAAUGCGUAGAUAUAGGAAGGGACACCAGUGGCGAAGGCGACCACCUGGGCUCAUACUGACACUGAGGUGCGAAAGCGUGGGGAGCAAACAGG
RNAcentral lists this ribosomal RNA (429 nucleotides) under Pseudomonadota bacterium. RNAcentral describes it as "Proteobacteria bacterium partial 16S ribosomal RNA". It matches the Rfam family "Bacterial small subunit ribosomal RNA", at positions 355 to 776 of the family's 1533-position model. The record is from RNAcentral. Lineage: Bacteria; Pseudomonadati; Pseudomonadota.